This 21-nucleotide ribosomal RNA is filed under the name Diaporthe phaseolorum. RNAcentral's name for it is "partial 18S ribosomal RNA". The record is from RNAcentral. Lineage: Eukaryota; Fungi; Ascomycota; Sordariomycetes; Diaporthales; Diaporthaceae.
GAACCUGCGGAGGGAUCAUUG